CAGUCGCCGCGGUAAUGCGUAGGUGGCAAGCGUUGUCCGGAAUUAUUGGGCGUAAAGGGCUCGCAGGCGGUUUCUUAAGUCUGAUGUGAAAGCCCCCGGCUCAACCGGGGAGGGUCAUUGGAAACUGGGAAACUUGAGUGCAGAAGAGGAGAGUGGAAUUCCACGUGUAGCGGUGAAAUGCGUAGAGAUGUGGAGGAACACCAGUGGCGAAGGCGACUCUCUGGUCUGUAACUGACGCUGAGGAGCGAAAGCGUGGGGAGCGAACAGGAUUAGAUACCCCCGUAGUCCCUGUCUCUUAUAC
RNAcentral lists this ribosomal RNA (301 nucleotides) under uncultured bacterium. RNAcentral's name for it is "partial 16S ribosomal RNA". It matches the Rfam family "Bacterial small subunit ribosomal RNA", at positions 509 to 807 of the family's 1533-position model. The record is from RNAcentral.